Molecule: ribosomal RNA, 301 nt
Filed under: uncultured bacterium
Lineage: Bacteria
Description: partial 16S ribosomal RNA
Rfam family: Bacterial small subunit ribosomal RNA
Source: RNAcentral
CAGUAGCCGCGGUAAUACGAAGGGUGCAAGCGUUGUCCGGAAUUAUUGGGCGUAAAGAGCUUGUAGGUGGUUUGUCGCGUCUGCUGUGAAAAUCCGAGGCUCAACCUCGGACUUGCAGUGGGUACGGGCAGACUAGAGUGUGGUAGGGGAGACUGGAAUUCCUGGUGUAGCGGUGGAAUGCGCAGAUAUCAGGAGGAACACCGAUGGCGAAGGCAGGUCUCUGGGCCAUUACUGACACUGAGAAGCGAAAGCAUGGGGAGCGAACAGGAUUAGAUACCCCAGUAGUCCCUGUCUCUUAUAA